Molecule: ribosomal RNA, 119 nt
Filed under: Crocodylus porosus (Australian saltwater crocodile)
Lineage: Eukaryota; Metazoa; Chordata; Crocodylia; Crocodylidae
Source: RNAcentral
GCCUAUAGCCAUACAGGGCCAAAUUAACCCUAUCUUCCCUGAUCUGAGAAGCUAAACAGUCCCAGACCUGCCUGGUACUUGGGUGAGAGGACACCAGAAGAUCCUGGGUGCUGUAGGAA